This 226-nucleotide ribosomal RNA is filed under the name uncultured bacterium. RNAcentral's name for it is "partial 16S ribosomal RNA". It matches the Rfam family "Bacterial small subunit ribosomal RNA", at positions 112 to 334 of the family's 1533-position model. The record is from RNAcentral.
CGGACGUAGGUAACCUGCCUGGUAGCGGGGGAUAACUAUUGGAACGAUAGCUAAUACCGCAUAAGAGUAGAUGUUGCAUGACAUUUGCUUAAAAGGUGCAAUUGCAUUACUACCAGAUGGACCUGCGUUGUAUUAGCUAGUUGGUGGGGUAACGGCUCACCAAGGCGACGAUACAUAGCCGACCUGAGAGGGUGAUCGGCCACACUGGGACUGAGACACGGCCCAG